Molecule: ribosomal RNA, 855 nt
Filed under: Triticum aestivum (bread wheat)
Lineage: Eukaryota; Viridiplantae; Streptophyta; Magnoliopsida; Poales; Poaceae
Description: partial small subunit ribosomal RNA
Source: RNAcentral
AUGGGGAGGACGCCCUGCUGCGAGAGCAGGCAGGGGCUGAAGAAAGGGCCCUGGACGCCGGAGGAGGACAAGCUCCUCGUCGACUACGUCCAGGCCAACGCCCCCGGCAACUGGCGCAUGCUCCCCAAGCUCGCCGGGCUGAACCGGUGCGGCAAGAGCUGCCGGCUGCGGUGGACGAACUACCUCCGGCCGGACAUCAAGCGCGGGCCCUUCACCGCCGAGGAGCACAAGUCCAUCCUCCAGCUCCACGCCAUCGUCGGCAACAAGUGGUCCAUGAUCGCGGCGCAGCUGCCCGGCCGGACGGACAACGAGAUCAAGAACUACUGGAACACCAACCUCAAGAAGCAGCUCCGCCAGGCGGCGCUCGUCGGCGAGCAGCACCCCGCCCUGGCCAGCCCGGGCGCGUCUGUCGGCGCCGGCUGCCUCGCCGCGCGUCACACGGCCCAGUGGGAGACCGCCCGCCUCGAGGCCGAGGCGCGCCUCUCCAUGCUCUCCACCUCCGCCGCGACCACCAGCGUGACCGCCUCCUCCUCCUCCUCCACCGCCGCGGCCGGGGGCGAGCACGGGGCCGACGCGCCGUCCGACGUCUUCCUGCGCCUCUGGAACUCCGAGGUCGGGGACACAUUCCGCCGCAAGUCGGCGGGCUCGGCGCCGCGCGAAGGGUCGGCGCAGCCAGCAGCGGCACCGUUGCCCCCGCCCGGGGACGACUCGUCGGCAGCGUCCAACGUGACGACGGCCGUGACGGCGGAGGAGUACCAGGUGUUCCUGGACAUGGCGGCCGAGGAGCUGGGCCUGUUCCACGGCGGGUUCUCGCUGUACCCGCAGGCGGACGGCCUGUUCGCCGAGUUCCAGUGA